UAAUGGCUUAUUAGUUAUAAGAGUGCUUUUAAACGAAACGUUAUUUGAUACGUAAAAUAUUUAUCUUUGAAUUAAAUGAUAAAUGAAUAAUUAUAGAAACAUGUUGUCAGUAUUUAAGAAUAUUUAAAGUUUAUGAUAAACAUAAGACUGACUCCCUCUAUGUAUUCUACGAUCAACGCGUGCAGUAGUAAAAUGGCUGCCGUAAAACGUCAAUACAUUUUAUAUCAAUAACAGCGUACUUUUGUAAAUAAUCGUGGUAAGGAGGAUUGCAAUAAAACGAAUGCCGUUCAAUUAAUAUUUUUAGUUUUUUUUUCAUAGUCGUGUGUAUGAAGGAGUGCGUGUGAACGGAAAAUGGCAGAAUUUGUGCGUGGAGGUCCGAGCGUGUCGAACAGUGCUAAGAUGGAUCACAAUAGUAAAGGAGGUUCUCCUAGCACUGGAAGUGAAGAUGGUGGACAGAAUGAAUCUAUGAAUGCAGAAAAUGAAUUUGAUCCUUUUCUUGAAAAUAUACCAGAUGAUAUUCAAGAUACAGAAGAACCUGAUAGUGCUAAUGCAACAUUAUUAACAGCUCCACCAGAAAAUCAAUGGUAUCAUGGUAGAUUAGAUAGAUUUACUGCCGAAGAAAGACUAUGGGAUGCAAGUAAAAUGGGCAGUUAUUUAGUGCGUGAAAGUGACAGAAAACCUGGAAGUUAUGUAUUAUCCUAUUUAGGCAGAACUGGCAUUAAUCAUUUUAGAAUUACAGCUGUGUGUGGAGAUUAUUAUAUUGGAGGUAGACAGUUCAAUAGCUUAUCAGAUCUUGUUGCAUAUUAUACUCAUUGCUCCGAUCUUUUAAAGAGGGAAAGACUUAUUCAUCCUACUCCACCUCCUGAACCAGUGAAUGAUAAGAAGCGAAUAGUUGCAAUACUGCCAUAUACAAAAAUGCCUGAUACAGAUGAAUUAAGUUUUCAAAAGGGUGACAUAUUUUUUGUGCACAAUGAUAUGGGAGAUGGUUGGUUAUGGGUUACUGCACAUAGAACUGGUGAACAAGGCUUAAUUUUUCGUGAAUUGGUGGAGGAUCUGGAUGAUUCCAUUGAUCCUAAUACUGUGUUCUCUUGGUUUCAUCCUAAUGUUACUAAAAGUGAAGCUGUCGACAUGUUGGUGAAGGCAGGACCUGGUAGUUUCUUGGUCAGACCUUCAGAUAAUAGUCCUGGAGAUUAUUCACUUUUCUUUCAUAUAAACAAUCAAAUUCAAAGAUUUAGAAUUGAAAAAAAGGGAGUACGUUAUCUUAUGGGUGGUAGAACUUUUGAAUGUCUUGAUGCUGUUAUAAAUAGAUAUCGGAAAGAGCAAAUAGUUGAGGGUCAUACUUUAGUUCAAGCAAUGGUAACAGAACCUGAUGGUAGUGUAAGAGUUAAUAGAGAAGUGCAACACGCGGAAAAAAUAUAUGCAACUCUUAGAGAAUGUCGGGAACAAUCUGGAGCAAAGAAAAAUAAAGGAAUUAAAAUGCAAGGAUAUUUAGAAAAAAAAUCAGAAAAAAAUAAAAAAUGGAAAGCAUUGUAUUUUGUACUUUUAGUGGAUGCAACUGACACUCAUUUGUAUUUGUAUGACAAUCCAAAAAGGACCAAACCUAAAGGUCUUAUCGAUUUAAGCUGUGCUUAUUUAUAUCAGGUUCAUGAAAGCGUGUUCGAUAGACCUCAUUGCUUUCAAUUAGUUGAACGUGCUUUACCAUGUUUGGCAACAAUAACAUAUUUGGCUGCUCCAAAUUCAGAGAAUGCUUUAGACUGGAUUAAUGCCUUAAAACCAUUAUGUGUAUCACAACUUACUCGUGCUCCAAAAGUUGCUCGUCUACGUGAAUUACGUUCAUUACAUCUGCAUAUUUUAGAUGCUCAUAGACUUCCAUAUAAACUAGUACCGAAUCCAUUCAUCAUAGUGGCUCUAAACAAUGUAAAAGUUGCUCGCACAAAAGUCAAAACAGGAUUACAUCCAAUUUGGGAUGAAGAAUUCAUUUUAGAGGAUGUGCCACCAGAUGUUAUGUCGUUUUCUUUAACAUUGUACAAUAAAGGAAAACGUAGUAAAGAUACCGAAGUGGCAGAAUUGACCGUUGAAUUGGCGAGUUUAACUAAUGGGGAAGAAAUGGAUGAAUGGUAUCCAUUGUCAGGCCUUACUCCAAUAGGCGAAUGGGGUGUACUUCGUUUACGGAUAAGGUAUCGGCACGAUCUAGCAAUGCCUCCGGAAGAAUAUAGUCCAUUGCAACAACUAUUAUUAGAUCCAGAACUGCAUGUUGUUAGAGCAUUAGCAGAUGUUUGUCAUUUGGAUAGAGUACCAUUGGCAAAUAGUUUACUUAGAAUAUUUAGGUAUAUAAAAAAAGAAGCAGAUCUUCUGAGAUCGUUAAAUCAAGCGGAAGUGGAUAAGGAAGAUGAAACACCAACACUUUUUAGAGCUGCUAGUCUUACAACUACGUUAAUGGAUUUAUAUAUGAAAUCAGUUUGUACCUCUUUUUUGAAAGCCGCUUUACGCGAUACCAUAGUGAAAUUAAUUGAAAGUAAACAGAGCUGUGAAUUAAAUCCAACAAAAAUGGAUUCUCCGGAAGAUGCGUGCAGCAAUGCAGAAUUUCUAUUACAAGUUUUAGAUGAAGUGACAUUAAGCAUUUUUACGAGUCCUGAUGCAUGUCCAAGGACAUUGAGAUAUAUUUGUGGAUGUUUACAAAGAGCAGUUGUUGCCAAAUGGCCACAUGAAAGACUAGUCAGAACACGAGUAGUCAGUGGAUUUAUAUUUUUACGUCUACUUUGCCCUGCCAUAUUAAAUCCUAGAUCAUUUAAUUUAAUAGCUGAACCGCCACCUCCAGCUGCUGCAAGGUAGGAUCACUGGUAAUGGUUGCAAAAUGUUUGCAAAAUUUGGCUAAUUUGGUAGAAUUUGGUGGUAAAGAACCAUAUAUGGAAGUAGUUAAUCCAUUUAUUCUUAAAAAUAAAGAAAGAAUGGUCGUAUUUUUGGAUCAAUUAUCUAAUGUAACUGAAAAACCAGAAUCUGAAGGUGCAGAUCCGAGAAAUAGAAGUUAUGUUUCGGAUACAGCGAGAGAUUUAGCAACACUGCAUCAUAUUUGUGUUUCUCAUUUAAAAGAACUUCAAGUUUUAUCAAAAACUCAG
RNAcentral lists this unclassified non-coding RNA (3116 nucleotides) under Apis dorsata (giant honeybee). RNAcentral's name for it is "ras GTPase-activating protein 1, transcript variant X3". The record is from RNAcentral. Lineage: Eukaryota; Metazoa; Arthropoda; Insecta; Hymenoptera; Apidae.